RNAcentral lists this ribosomal RNA (424 nucleotides) under uncultured Sphingobacteriales bacterium. RNAcentral describes it as "bacterial SSU rRNA". It matches the Rfam family "Bacterial small subunit ribosomal RNA", at positions 355 to 776 of the family's 1533-position model. The record is from RNAcentral. Lineage: Bacteria; Pseudomonadati; Bacteroidota; Sphingobacteriia; Sphingobacteriales.
UAAGGAAUAUUGGACAAUGGGCGCAAGCCUGAUCCAGCCAUGCCGCGUGAAGGAUGAAGGCCCUAUGGGUCGUAAACUUCUUUUAUACGGGAAAAAACCCCCCGAUGCGUCGGGGGUUGAUGGUACUGUAAGAAUAAGGGUCGGCUAACUUCGUGCCAGCAGCCGCGGUAAUACGAAGGACCCAAGCGUUAUCCGGAUUUAUUGGGUUUAAAGGGUGCGUAGGCGGAUUAAUAAGUCAGUGGUGAAAGCCUGAUGCUUAACAUCAGAAUUGCCAUUGAUACUGUUAGUCUUGAGUAUGGUUGAGGUGGGCGGAAUGUGUCAUGUAGCGGUGAAAUGCUUAGAUAUGACACAGAACACCAAUUGCGAAGGCAGCUCGCUAAACCAUAACUGACGCUGAGGCACGAAAGCGUGGGGAGCAAACAGG